UCCUACGGGAGGCAGCAGUAGGGAAUCUUCCACAAUGGGCGAAAGCCUGAUGGAGCAACGCCGCGUGAGUGAAGAAGGUUUUCGGAUCGUAAAACUCUUUUGUAAGGGAAGAACAAGUCCAGUAGUAACUGGCUGUACCUUGACGUUCUGUACAGAAGAACCAAUUC
RNAcentral lists this ribosomal RNA (167 nucleotides) under Lysinibacillus fusiformis. RNAcentral describes it as "partial 16S ribosomal RNA". It matches the Rfam family "Bacterial small subunit ribosomal RNA", at positions 337 to 507 of the family's 1533-position model. The record is from RNAcentral. Lineage: Bacteria; Bacillati; Bacillota; Bacilli; Caryophanales; Bacillaceae.